RNAcentral lists this ribosomal RNA (226 nucleotides) under Vagococcus sp. Its description in RNAcentral is "partial 16S ribosomal RNA". It matches the Rfam family "Bacterial small subunit ribosomal RNA", at positions 565 to 790 of the family's 1533-position model. The record is from RNAcentral. Lineage: Bacteria; Bacillati; Bacillota; Bacilli; Lactobacillales; Enterococcaceae.
GCGAGCGCAGGCGGUUCCUUAAGUCUGAUGUGAAAGCCCCCGGCUCAACCGGGGAAGGUCAUUGGAAACUGGGGAACUUGAGUGCAGAAGAGGAGAGUGGAAUUCCAUGUGUAGCGGUGAAAUGCGUAGAUAUAUGGAGGAACACCAGUGGCGAAGGCGACUCUCUGGUCUGUAACUGACGCUGAGGCUCGAAAGCGUGGGGAGCAAACAGGAUUACAUACCCCCG